Molecule: long non-coding RNA, 463 nt
Organism: Oncorhynchus tshawytscha (Chinook salmon)
Lineage: Eukaryota; Metazoa; Chordata; Actinopteri; Salmoniformes; Salmonidae
Source: Ensembl
GGUACAGAGUCAAUGUGGAGGUUAUAUACAGGGGGUACAGGUACAGAGUCAAUGUGGAGGCUAUAUACAGGGGGUACCGGUACAGAGUCAAUGUGGAGGUUAUAUACAGGGGGUACAGGUACAGAGUCAAUGUGGAGGCUAUAUACAGGGGGUACCGGUACAGAGUCAAUGUGGAGGUUAUAUACAGGGGGUACCAGUACAGAGUCAAUGUGGAGGUUAUAUACAGGGGGUACCAGUACAGAGUCAAUGUGGAGGUUAUAUACAGGGGGUACCGGUACAGAGUCAAUGUGGAGGUUAUAUACAGGGGGUACCAGUACAGAGUCAAUGUGGAGGCUAUAUACAGGGGGUACCAGUACAGAGUCAAUGUGGAGGUUAUAUACAGGGGGUACCGGUACAGAGUCAAUGUGGAGGUUAUAUACAGGGGGUACCGGUACAGAGUCAAUGUGGAGGCUAUAUACAGGGG